Molecule: ribosomal RNA, 596 nt
Filed under: Celeribacter sp.
Lineage: Bacteria; Pseudomonadati; Pseudomonadota; Alphaproteobacteria; Rhodobacterales; Roseobacteraceae
Description: bacterial SSU rRNA
Rfam family: Bacterial small subunit ribosomal RNA
Source: RNAcentral
UUUAAUACCGUAUACGCCCUUCGGGGGAAAGAAUUUCGGUGAGGGAUCGGCCCGCGUUAGAUUAGUUAGUUGGUGGGGUAAUGGCCUACCAAGACUACGAUCUAUAGCUGGUUUGAGAGGAUGAUCAGCAACACUGGGACUGAGACACGGCCCAGACUCCUACGGGAGGCAGCAGUGGGGAAUCUUAGACAAUGGGGGCAACCCUGAUCUAGCGAUGCCGCGUGAGUGAUGAAGGCCUUAGGGUCGUAAAGCUCUUUCGCCUGUGAUGAUAAUGACAGUAGCAGGUAAAGAAACCCCGGCUAACUCCGUGCCAGCAGCCGCGGUAAUACGGAGGGGGUUAGCGUUGUUCGGAAUUACUGGGCGUAAAGCGCACGUAGGCGGAUUAGUCAGUCAGAGGUGAAAUCCCAGGGCUCAACCCUGGAACUGCCUUUGAUACUGCUAGUCUUGAGUUCGAGAGAGGUAAGUGGAAUUCCGAGUGUAGAGGUGAAAUUCGUAGAUAUUCGGAGGAACACCAGUGGCGAAGGCGGCUUACUGGCUCGAUACUGACGCUGAGGUGCGAAAGUGUGGGGAGCAAACAGGAUUAGAUACCCUGGUAG